This 252-nucleotide ribosomal RNA is filed under the name uncultured bacterium. RNAcentral's name for it is "partial 16S ribosomal RNA". It matches the Rfam family "Bacterial small subunit ribosomal RNA", at positions 525 to 776 of the family's 1533-position model. The record is from RNAcentral.
ACGGAGGGUGCAAGCGUUAAUCGGAAUUACUGGGCGUAAAGGGUGCGUAGGCGGUUAAGUAAGUUAUCUGUGAAAUCCCCGGGCUCAACCUGGGUAGGAAAGAUAAUACUGCUUAACUAGAGUGUGGUAGAGGAUAGUGGAAUUUCCGGUGUAGCGGUGAAAUGCGUAGAGAUCGGAAGGAACACCAGUGGCGAAGGCGGCUAUCUGGAUCAACACUGACGCUGAGGCACGAAAGCGUGGGGAGCAAACAGG